UACGUAGGUGGCAAGCGUUGUCCGGAUUUAUUGGGCGUAAAGGGAGCGCAGGUGGUUUCUUAAGUCUGAUGUGAAAGCCCACGGCUUAACCGUGGAGGGUCAUUGGAAACUGGGGAACUUGAGUGCAGAAGAGGAAAGUGGAAUUCCAAGUGUAGCGGUGGAAUGCGUAGAUAUUUGGAGGAACACCAGUGGCGAAGGCGACUUUCUGGUCUGUAACUGACACUGAGGCUCGAAAGCGUGGGGAGCGAACAGGAUUAGAUUCCCCGGUAGUCCCUGAGCGGG
RNAcentral lists this ribosomal RNA (282 nucleotides) under uncultured prokaryote. Its description in RNAcentral is "partial 16S ribosomal RNA". It matches the Rfam family "Bacterial small subunit ribosomal RNA", at positions 524 to 803 of the family's 1533-position model. The record is from RNAcentral.